This 210-nucleotide ribosomal RNA is filed under the name uncultured bacterium. RNAcentral's name for it is "partial 16S ribosomal RNA". It matches the Rfam family "Bacterial small subunit ribosomal RNA", at positions 111 to 334 of the family's 1533-position model. The record is from RNAcentral.
UAUCGCGUAGGGAUGUAUCGUUGGGUGGGGGACAACCUUGGGAAACUGGGGCUAAUACCGCAUGACGCCUGUGGGCCAAAGCCUGUGAGGGCGCCUGAUGAGCAGCCUGCGUCCGAUUAGCUAGUUGGUUGGGUAAUGGCUGACCAAGGCUGUGAUCGGUAGCUGGUCUGAGAGGAUGAUCAGCCACACUGGGACUGAGACACGGCCCAG